AUAAUGGGUUUUUAAUAAUGGGUUUUUAAUAAUGGGUUUUUUAAUAAUGGGUUUUUUAAUAAUGGGUUUUUAAUAAUGGGUUUUUAAAUAAUGGAUUUUUAAAUAAUGGCUUUUAAUAAUGCUUUUUUCUUUCAGUGGAAGACCGAAUCAACGAAUGCGGGGCAGAAUACACUUUAAAAACAAAAUCUAAAUGAGAGAAAACUAUAUUGAUGGAAGCAGAUUAUUAGUGACGGCAGGAAGGAAAGGUCACAGAAGCAGAGGAAGAAAAACAUGGGUAAGGAAAAUUGCAAACAGCGAUGGUAAGACUUUUUCAGGGACGGAAAAUUAAAUGGCAGAUGUUAUGAUGUCAAUGUAUGGUCUAAUUAAGAAGGAAUGAUGUUAUGAUGUCAAUGUAUGGUCUUAAUUAAAAAGGAAUGAUGUUAUGAUGUCAAUGCAUGGUCUAAAUUAAAAAGGAAUGAUGUUAUGAUGUCAAUGUAUGGUCUAAAUUAAAAAGGAAUGAUGUUAUGAUGUCAAUGCAUGGUCGAAAUUCAAAAAGGAAUGAUGUUAUGAUGUCAAUGGAUGGUCUAAUUAAAAAGGAAUGAUGUUAUGAUGUCAAUGGAUGGUCUAAAUUAAAAAGGAAUGAUGUUAUGAUGUCAAUGGAUGGUCUAAAUUAAAAAGGAAUGAUGUUAUGAUGUCAAUGGAUGGUCUAAAUUAAAAAGGAAUGAUGUUAUGAUGUCAAUGGAUGGUCUAAAUUAAAAAGGAAUGAUGUUAUGAUGUCAAUGCAUGGUCAAAAUUAAAAAGGAAGAUGUUAUGAUGUCAAUGGAUGGUCUAAAUUAAAAAGGAAUGAUGUUAUGAUGUCAAUGGAUGGUCUAAAUUAAGAAGGAAUGAUGUUAUGAUGUCAAUAGAUGGUCUAAAUUAAAAGGCAGAUGUUAUGAUGUCAAUGUAUGGUCUAAUUAAGAAGGAAUGAUGUUAUGAUGUCAAUGUAUGGUCUUAAUUAAAAAGGAAUGAUGUUAUGAUGUCAAUGGAUGGUCUAAAUUAAAAAGGAAUGAUGUUAUGAUGUCAAUGGAUGGUCUAAAUUAAAAAGGAAUGAUGUUAUGAUGUCAAUGGAUGGUCUAAAUUAAAAAGGAAUGAUGUUAUGAUGUCAAUGCAUGGUCUAAAUAAGAAGGAAUGAUGUUAUGAU
Long non-coding RNA from Eriocheir sinensis (Chinese mitten crab), 1159 nucleotides. RefSeq lists it as uncharacterized. The transcript is spliced from 2 exons. The record is from RefSeq and is a predicted model, not a curated record. NCBI's taxonomy places the organism in Eukaryota, Metazoa, Arthropoda, Malacostraca, Decapoda, Varunidae.